Molecule: non-coding RNA, 1792 nt
Organism: Ailuropoda melanoleuca (giant panda)
Lineage: Eukaryota; Metazoa; Chordata; Mammalia; Carnivora; Ursidae
Source: the annotation of a RefSeq genome assembly
CAUUUGCAUAGACAGGCCCUCCCUCUCUCAGAGGAUGAAGAGGGGAAGGGAGAGGUGAGGGGAGGCUCUUCUCAGCUGUGGGGCACAGAAGUCAGGACCAGGGAUGACCUGCACCAUGUCCUGGUCCCCUCUCCUCCUCACCCUCCUCGCUCACUGCACAGGUUCCUGGGCCCAGUCUGGGCUGACUCAGCCACCCUCCAUGACUGGGUCCCUGGGCCAGAGGGUCACCAUCUCCUGCACUGGAAGCAGCUCCAACAUCGGUGGUAAUUAUGUGAGCUGGCACCAACAGCUCCCAGGAACCGCCCCCAGAACUGUCAUCUAUGGUAAUAACAACCGACCAUCGGGGAUCCCGGAUCGAUUUUCUGGCUCCCAGUCUGGCAGCUCAGCCACCCUGACCAUCACUGGGCUCCAGGCUGAGGAUGAGGCGGAUUAUUACUGUGCAUCGUGGGAUGACAAUCUCAGUGCUCACACAGAGCUCCAGGCCUGAGGGGAAUUGAGACAAAAACCCACUUGCUCAUCUGUAGAGGGGGACACACACCAGCAGUUCCUGCUCAGCUUAGCCUGUGAUGCUCCUUAUUCCUCUGCUGACUCCUUGUGCCCGGGUCCCUCAGGGGCACCACCGUGGAUUGAGGAUCUCCUGUCACUUCUGUCCUCAGAGUCACUCAGAGCAGCUCAUUCCUUGACAAAGAGUUUCCAUGUGAACAGAAAUUUCCUGUUUCAUCAUCUGAGGUAUUUUAUUUCUAAGCUGGAUCAUACUAAUUUUUUUCCUUCUCAUUUUAAAUAUAUCAAACAAUUUUAUUUUCUCUCUGAACAUAUCAUGAGACCUCAUCAAUACCCAUGUGGUGCUUGAAGAAUAAUUCAGUCCUGUGGCUUUAUUACUCUCAACUUGGUUUUAAGCGGUGCUGCUGCCUAGUUUUCCUGAUUCUUUGAGAAAUAGAUGCUCACCUAGAAAUGUAAAAGUAUUUAAAAAAUCCCCAAACUUGUGUCUGCAGAAAAAACCUGCAUGUGAAUGUUUAUACCAGUUUCAGUCCUAAUUACUAAAAACUGAACGUGAGCAGAAAUCCGUUCACAGAUAUUUACUCCAGGUUUAUAUCUAAUCAAUGAAACAUGGAACCAAACUCAGAUGCCAGCAAAUAGGCAGGACAUUUAUGAAAUGGGACAGAAUAUAUAGUGUGGUUAAAGUUACAUCACAUAUGGGAAGCAGCGACCACUCUGGAGAGAGUGCAAACAUCUGCAGUUUCUGAGAGAAUAAAAGAGACAACAGGGUUGAUCAUGUGAACAAAGGAAAAUGUUUCUGAGCAACAGAAUGAUUUGAUAAAACGCUGUCAUGGCACUGAAAUGACACUAUGACACUGUCAGUCACUGAACACUGUACAGCCACAUGACAGAACCCAAAGGGUGCAGAUACAACUCGUUUGAGAGGUUUGGGGCCCUGAAUGGCAUGCGGACUGUGACAAACCCACAUACCUACCUCACAGACAUGUGAGCUGAGCUCAGCACAGGGCUCGGGGAUGCUGUUGAGCUGAGUGAUGGCGAAAAUGAACGGAGCCUGUCAGUGUAAAGUCAGAAGAGACUGCGUGUGAGCUCUGUGCUCUAGAAGGUAAGCUCGUGUCCUGUGUGGAACGGGCGGAUUAUGUUAACGGGGCUGCACUGCAUUGUGUAAUCGAACAAUCAUGUCAGUGGUUUGGUGGUGGUGGAGCCAGAUUUCUCACGUUAGGAAUGGAAGCUCACAGACAUAACCAGGGAAGGAGGCUUGAGUGAAGCGUGUGGUCAUGGGUUAGAGCUGGAGCUG